RNAcentral lists this long non-coding RNA (449 nucleotides) under Mus musculus (house mouse). RNAcentral's name for it is "RIKEN cDNA 8430430B14 gene (8430430B14Rik)". Lineage: Eukaryota; Metazoa; Chordata; Mammalia; Rodentia; Muridae. The record is from RNAcentral.
ACUUGUUCUGUCCUUGGAACUGAAGUCCCCCGACUUGCCAGGCAGAGCUGGCCUAGGCCAUGCACCUGUGGUGCGCUGAAGGCUGGGCAGCAAGACAUGGAAGCAGAGGGUGCCCAGUGCAGGAAGACCCUGGAAAGAGAUGAGCACCAUUAAGGUCCUUCAUAUGCCAAGAGCACCCACAAGGCAGAUCCACGCCCACAUGACUCCCAUGGAGAAAGAAGGCUUGCGUUCACGCCUCAGCUCCUUCUAAUCAGCCCUUCCCCACCUCCAGCUUCUUUCCCCAUCUGCUCAUCCUUGAAUAGACAUCUCUGCUCCCUCAUUAGGGAGCAAUAGAGUCAACAAGUUGACACUCUCUGGGAAGUUUUCACCCCUAACAUGAUCUACCAGGCUUUCUGUGGUAACAAUGCAGCAGUGAUAUUAAAUGGCACUCGUGGUUAAAAAAAAAAAAA